AGAGUUUGAUCCUGGCUCAGGACGAACGCUGGCGGCGUGCUUAACACAUGCAAGUCGAACGGUAAGGCCUCUUCGGGGGUACACGAGUGGCGAACGGGUGAGUAACACGUGAGUAACCUGCCCUUGACUUUGGGAUAACAUCUGGAAACAGGUGCUAAUACCGGAUAUGAGCUUGUCCUGCAUGGGAUGGGUUGGAAAGCUCCGGCGGUCAUGGAUGGACUCGCGGCCUAUCAGCUUGUUGGUGAGGUAAUGGCUCACCAAGGCUUCGACGGGUAGCCGGCCUGAGAGGGCGACCGGCCACAUUGGGACUGAGAUACGGCCCAAACUCCUACGGGAGGCAGCAGUGGGGAAUAUUGCACAAUGGGCGGAAGCCUGAUGCAGCAACGCCGCGUGCGGGAUGACGGCCUUCGGGUUGUAAACCGCUUUCAGCAGGGACGAAGCGUGAGUGACGGUACCUGCAGAAGAAGCACCGGCUAACUACGUGCCAGCAGCCGCGGUGAUACGUAGGGUGCGAGCGUUGUCCGGAUUUAUUGGGCGUAAAGAGCUUGUAGGCGGUUUGUCGCGUCGGGAGUGGAAACUCAGGGCUUAACCCUGAGCCUGCUUCCGAUACGGGCAGACUUGAGGAAGGUAGGGGAGAAUGGAAUUCCUGGUGAAGCGGUGGAAUGCGUAGAUAUCAGGAGGAACACCAGUGGCGAAGGCGGUUCUCUGGACCUUUCCUGACGCUGAGAAGCGAAAGCGUGGGGAGCAAACAGGCUUAGAUACCCUGGUAGUCCACGCCGUAAACGGUGGGUACUAGGUGU
This 800-nucleotide ribosomal RNA is filed under the name uncultured bacterium. RNAcentral's name for it is "bacterial SSU rRNA". It matches the Rfam family "Bacterial small subunit ribosomal RNA", at positions 8 to 823 of the family's 1533-position model. The record is from RNAcentral.